GCUCAUUCCUGCUCCACCAGGUUCAGCUGGGGUGACUUGAAGAUGAGACCUGGAAUUACCUGCAGGCUCGCUCACUCAUCAGUGGUGGUGAGCUGCUGCCAGUUGAGACUUUAGCUGGGGUACUUAGCCAGAACGCCUACACACAGCCUCUCCAUGUGACCUGGGCUUCCUCACAACGUCGUCCUUGGAUUCCAAGGGUGAACAUCCCAAGAGAGAGAGCCAGAUGGAACCCUUAUGACCUUGCCUUGGAAAAUCUUAAAGAUCCUUGGAGGUGGCUUGAAAGCCAAUUUUGGGAGCCAGAACUGGAGAGAGGACUGAGGGAGAGUCUUCGAGAGAUCCAGACACUUCCUCACCUCCUAUUUCGACUGCAACAGCUUCCCCUUGAACUUUCUAUAAAUUGGAAUUCUGCGGAGGGAUUGGUUUUAAAAGGGGGUUCUGCUUCUUUUAAAAAAUUAUCUGGCGUAGACCAGUGUGCCAAAAAUAACUGCAGUGUUUAAAUUAAACCAUUAUAGAAUCUACUCUUAAAUUAACUGUUAGACUUCCUAAGACCCAAGGGAGUGAACAAAGUUGGCUGUUGUGAAGAAAGAAGCUGACAAAUGACGUGGCCCCACGUUGAAGCAGCAAAAGAUUCUGGAAGGCAGCUGCUCCAUGGAGCUUUUCUGAGCAUGCUCUCCAAGUCCUAUAGCGGAGUUCCUUAAUUCCUAGAGGACGCUCUUGCAUUCUUGGCUGUUUUCUGUAGUAAGGUGACCACUGACCAUUUUGACUGCUUCAGAUCAGUUUUGUGCUUUGACUUCAAAUGUCAAAGCACAUUUGUAUGUGCUUUGAGAAAUGUAAUGAGAGAUCUGUGUUCACAGGGCACAUAGCAGUUUGAGAAAUGUGCUCAAUAAAUGCUUGUUGUUGAUUGAAUACUUAGUUUUGAAAAUAAUAUUUAACUUUUCUUCUAGAAUACUAACUGGACCCAGAGACUGACCGCAGUCACUUGUGACAGCAUCUAACUAGACAUUGUCCUAUUUUCUCCCUAAAAUCCAACUUCAUUACUUUAUGAAUUUCAACCUAACAUCUACCUGUGCUUAGAGGUUUUGCUUUAAUGGAAGAAACAAUCCAUUAUAUAGACUGCAAAUGUUCUCAUAUUCAUCACAGGUAAAUAAAGGAAACUGUCUUUAGAAUAAAGUUUAUUUUUAUUAAGUAUUAGCUCCUAGUUGUUUAAUUUUUAUAAAGGACUCAUUAGAGGAGCAUCCUUGUUGGUUGGCUGUUUUGAUGUUAUUUUCCUCUUAAUUUUAUCCUAAAAAAGAUAGAGUGUAAAUAAUAAUACUAUAUAUUUGUAUCUUGAUUUGUAGUUUAUCAAAUAUUACAUCUGUUUGUCAUAACAAUCCUGAAAAGUAUGUAUUAUUAUCUCCACUUUAAAGAUGAGUGAAAUAGCUAAAUCACUAGUUCAGUGUCCUAUACCCAGCACCUAGCACUGUUUACCUGCAUUUUUAGGACGGGUGUGUUUAGUUAAGAGACAACGAGUAGGUAACUGUUCUUAACCCUAGAUGUAGGUCUAAUCCCAUUUACUAGCCCAUUUUUAAUGCUGUUUUUAUCUUUUAAUGAAACUGGGCAUGUUCUCUCUAAAUGUUUUUAGAUUUUAAUUUUAAAAGCCUGUUUCCAUCGGGAGAGGAGAGGAAAUCAUUUCCAAAAACUUGAGAAAGUGCCAGGAAAAGCUAAAUGAUUAAUUUCCCAUAAAGCGCAUCAGGCAUUUCAUUUUGCCAAAUGAUUCUGAAUUAGAAAUCUUCCUUCGACUGCAGAUACAAUCUUUGUGAGGCUCUCUGAACCAGGAAAAGGUAUAUUUGACUGGAUGGUGCGGAGAGACGGAAACAGGGAAAAGGCCCCCUCUGGACCAAGUAGACCCAGAAAUGCCUACAAAACGCUCCGUGAACAGGCCAAGUUUCUCUAACAGAUGCGCCCAGCCUGAUCGCCUGGCUGGUGAAGGGCCAUAUGAUAAGCAGGGUUGAGAAUAUCAUUUUUAAACAAAUGAUCACUUAACCGAAUGCUCCAUUACU
This is a long non-coding RNA of Equus caballus (horse), 2039 nucleotides long. The record is from Ensembl. NCBI's taxonomy places the organism in Eukaryota, Metazoa, Chordata, Mammalia, Perissodactyla, Equidae.